AGCUCCAAUAGCGUAUAUUAAAGUUGUUGUGGUUAAAAAGCUCGUAGUUGGAUUUCGGCGGGUCGGGGCUGGCUUGAAUUGAUUAAACACAGACUUUUUUAACCGCGUGUUUUGCCAGAAUCUUACCGGGGAUCUUUUCCGAUUGUCCGCUGGAACUGGCAGGUUUACUUUGUAAAAAAUUAGAGUGCUCAAAGCAAGCUUACUGCUUGAAUAGUUGUCGCAUGGAAUAAUAGAAUAGGAAGUCGUUUCUAUUUUGUUGGUUUUCGGAAAUCGACUUAAUGAUUAAUAGGGAUAGUCGGGGGCAUUCGUAUUCAAACGACAGAGGUGAAAUUCUUGGACCGUUUGAAGACGAACUAAGGCGAAAGCAUUUGCCAAGAAUGUUUUCA
This 386-nucleotide ribosomal RNA is filed under the name marine copepod environmental sample. RNAcentral's name for it is "SSU rRNA". It matches the Rfam family "Eukaryotic small subunit ribosomal RNA", at positions 587 to 972 of the family's 1831-position model. Lineage: Eukaryota; Metazoa; Arthropoda; Copepoda. The record is from RNAcentral.